Molecule: transfer RNA, 72 nt
Filed under: Camelus ferus (Wild Bactrian camel)
Lineage: Eukaryota; Metazoa; Chordata; Mammalia; Artiodactyla; Camelidae
Rfam family: tRNA
About the family: Transfer RNA (tRNA) molecules are approximately 80 nucleotides in length. Their secondary structure includes four short double-helical elements and three loops (D, anti-codon, and T loops).
Source: Rfam by way of RNAcentral
GCGGGUAGAGCUCAGCGGUAGAGCAUGUGUUUAGCAAGCACAAGGUCCUGGGUUCAAUCCCCAGUCCCUCCA